This 28-nucleotide non-coding RNA is filed under the name Rattus norvegicus (Norway rat). Lineage: Eukaryota; Metazoa; Chordata; Mammalia; Rodentia; Muridae. The record is from RNAcentral.
UUCUCAGUGCUAUGCCUUACCCACCCGU